RNAcentral lists this ribosomal RNA (449 nucleotides) under uncultured bacterium. Its description in RNAcentral is "SSU rRNA". It matches the Rfam family "Bacterial small subunit ribosomal RNA", at positions 26 to 518 of the family's 1533-position model. The record is from RNAcentral.
AGAGCGAACGCUGGCGGCAGGCCUAAUACAUGCAAGUCGAACGGAUCCUUCGGGAUUAGUGGCGGACGGGUGAGUAACACGUGGGAACGUACCCUUUGGUUCGGAACAACUCAGGGAAACUUGAGCUAAUACCGAAUGUGCCCUUCGGGGAAAAGAUUUAUCGCCAUUGGAGCGGCCCGCGUCUGAUUAGCUAGUUGGUAGGGUAAAGGCCUACCAAGGCUACGAUCAGUAGCUGGUCUGAGAGGAUGAUCAGCCACACUGGGACUGAGACACGGCCCAGACUCCUACGGGAGGCAGCAGUAGGGAAUCUUGCGCAAUGGGCGAAAGCCUGACGCAGCCAUGCCGCGUGAAUGAUGAAGGUCUUAGGAUUGUAAAAAUUCUUUCAGCGGGGACGAUAAAUGACGGUACCCGCAGAAGAAGCCCCGGCUAACUUCGUGCCCAGCAGCCGC